Molecule: ribosomal RNA, 591 nt
Filed under: Palibythus magnificus
Lineage: Eukaryota; Metazoa; Arthropoda; Malacostraca; Decapoda; Synaxidae
Description: eukaryotic LSU rRNA
Rfam family: Eukaryotic large subunit ribosomal RNA (bases 214-591)
Source: RNAcentral
CCGAUCCCCGACCGGCUGCCUCCGGCCUUCUGCCGCGGCCACACGCGGGGUGAGUCCCUUUCCCCCGCCUCUGGCGCGUCGCGGAUCUGUGGGGUCGGUUGGCGAAGGUCUUUUUAUUCUGUGGAAACCUGUUCGCAGGGGGGCGCAGGCCCGGGACUUGCCACGGACGCCGCGCGUCUCCUCUUCCCGUGCUCCUCAUCGGGCCGAGAGGGGCUGGCGUGCUCGCAGUCGGCAAGUACCAGGAGCAGGCAUGUUGGGACCCGAAAGAUGGUGAACUAUGCCUGGCCAGGAUGAAGCCAGAGGAAACUCUGGUGGAGGUCCGUAGCGAUUCUGACGUGCAAAUCGAUCGUCUGAGCUGGGUAUAGGGGCGAAAGACUAAUCGAACCAUCUAGUAGCUGGUUCCCUCCGAAGUUUCCCUCAGGAUAGCUGGAACUCGCCACCAGAUGAAUUUCAUCCGGUAAAGCGAAUGAUUAGAGGUCUUGGGGACGAAACGUCCUCAACCUAUUCUCAAACUUUAAAUGGGUGAGAUGCCGAGCUUGCUUAAAAGAUGAAGCUUCGGCGACGAAUCGGAGUUCCUAGUGGGCCACUUUU